Molecule: ribosomal RNA, 164 nt
Filed under: uncultured bacterium
Lineage: Bacteria
Description: partial 16S rRNA
Rfam family: Bacterial small subunit ribosomal RNA
Source: RNAcentral
UAGGGAAUCUUCCACAAUGGACGAAAGUCUGAUGGAGCAACGCCGCGUGAGUGAAGAAGGUUUUCGGAUCGUAAAACUCUGUUGGUAGAGAAGAACGUUGGUGAGAGUGGAAAGCUCAUCAAGUGACGGUAACUACCCAGAAAGGGACGGCUAACUACGUGCCA